GACGAACGCUGGCGGCGUGCUUAACACAUGCAAGUCGAGCGGUAAGGCCCUUUCGGGGGUACGACGAGCGGCGAACGGGUGAGUAACACGUGGGUGACCUGCCCUCAGCUCUGGGAUAAGCCCGGGAAACUGGGUCUAAUACUGGAUAUGACUCCACGGUGCAUGCCGUGGGGUGGAAAGCCUUGUGCGGCUGAGGAUGGGCCCGCGGCCUAUCAGCUUGUUGGUGGGGUGAUGGCCUACCAAGGCGACGACGGGUAGCCGGCCUGAGAGGGCGACCGGCCACACUGGGACUGAGACACGGCCCAGACUCCUACGGGAGGCGAGCAGUGGGGAAUCUUGCGCAAUGGGCGAAAGCCUGACGCAGCGACGCCGCGUGAGGGAUGACGGCCU
This 390-nucleotide ribosomal RNA is filed under the name uncultured bacterium. RNAcentral describes it as "bacterial SSU rRNA". It matches the Rfam family "Bacterial small subunit ribosomal RNA", at positions 28 to 417 of the family's 1533-position model. The record is from RNAcentral.